RNAcentral lists this ribosomal RNA (446 nucleotides) under uncultured bacterium. Its description in RNAcentral is "partial 16S ribosomal RNA". It matches the Rfam family "Bacterial small subunit ribosomal RNA", at positions 355 to 792 of the family's 1533-position model. The record is from RNAcentral.
UAGGGAAUCUUCCACAAUGGACGCAAGUCUGAUGGAGCAACGCCGCGUGAGUGAAGAAGGUUUUCGGACCGUAAAGCUCUGUUGUUGGUGAAGAAGGAUAGAGGUAGUAACUGGCCUUUAUUUGACGGUAAUCAACCAGAAAGUCACGGCUAACUACGUGCCAGCAGCCGCGGUAAUACGUAGGUGGCAAGCGUUGUCCGGAUUUAUUGGGCGUAAAGCGAGCGCAGGCGGAAGAAUAAGUCUGAUGUGAAAGCCCUCGGCUUAACCGAGGAAUUGCAUCGGAAACUGUUUUUCUUGAGUGCAGAAGAGGAGAGUAGAACUCCAUGUGUAGCGGUGGAAUGCGUAGAUAUAUGGAAGAAUACCAGUGGCGAAGGCGGCUCUCUGGUCUGCAACUGACGCUGAGGCUCGAAAGCAUGGGUAGCGAACAGGAUUAGAUACCCUUGGUA